RNAcentral lists this transfer RNA (71 nucleotides) under bacterium. Its description in RNAcentral is "tRNA-His". It matches the Rfam family "tRNA". From Rfam's summary of the family: Transfer RNA (tRNA) molecules are approximately 80 nucleotides in length. Their secondary structure includes four short double-helical elements and three loops (D, anti-codon, and T loops). The record is from RNAcentral.
GUGCCUGUAGUUCAAUGGUAGAACACCUCUCUGUGGAGGAGGUUACGUGGGUCCGAUUCCCAUCAGGCACC